This 468-nucleotide ribosomal RNA is filed under the name uncultured bacterium. RNAcentral describes it as "partial 16S ribosomal RNA". It matches the Rfam family "Bacterial small subunit ribosomal RNA", at positions 28 to 507 of the family's 1533-position model. The record is from RNAcentral.
GACGAACGCUGGCGGCGUGCUUAACACAUGCAAGUCGAACGGAAAGGCCCUGCUUUUGUGGGGUGCUCGAGUGGCGAACGGGUGAGUAACACGUGAGUAACCUGCCCUGGACUUUGGGAUAACUUCAGGAAACUGGGGCUAAUACCGGAUAGGAGCUCCUGCUGCAUGGUGGGGGUUGGAAAGUUUCGGCGGUUGGGGAUGGACUCGCGGCUUAUCAGCUUGUUGGUGGGGUAGUGGCUUACCAAGGCUUUGACGGGUAGCCGGCCUGAGAGGGUGAACGGCCACAUUGGGACUGAGAUACGGCCCAGACUCCUACGGGAGGCAGCAGUGGGGAAUAUUGCACAAUGGGCGGAAGCCUGAUGCAGCAACGCCGCGUGCGGGAUGACGGCCUUCGGGUUGUAAACCGCUUUCGCCUGUGACGAAGCGUGAGUGACGGUAAUGGGUAAAGAAGCACCGGCUAACUACGUG